This 439-nucleotide ribosomal RNA is filed under the name uncultured bacterium. Its description in RNAcentral is "partial 16S ribosomal RNA". It matches the Rfam family "Bacterial small subunit ribosomal RNA", at positions 339 to 795 of the family's 1533-position model. The record is from RNAcentral.
CUACGGGUUGCUGCAGUGAGGAAUAUUGCACAAUGGGGGGAACCCUGAUGCAGCAACGCCGCGUGGAGGAUGACGCAUUUCGGUGUGUAAACUCCUUUUAUAUGUCAAGAAAAUGACGGCAGCAUAUGAAUAAGCACCGGCUAACUCCGUGCCAGCAGCCGCGGUAAUACGGAGGGUGCAAGCGUUACUCGGAAUCACUGGGCGUAAAGGACGCGUAGGCGGGUUGGAAGGUCAGGUGUGAAAUCCUACAGCUUAACUGUAGAACUGCACUUGAAACUUCUAAUCUAGAGUAUGGGAGGGGGAGAUGGAAUUAGUGGUGUAGGGGUAAAAUCCGUAGAUAUCACUAGGAAUACCUAAAGCGAAGGCGAUCUCCUGGAACAUUACUGACGCUAAGGCGUGGAAGCGUGGGGAGCAAACAGGAUUAGAUACCCUCGUAGUC